UGGCUGGACAGGUCCAUUGGGAAAUCCACCUGCUUAACAGGUGGGCGUCCAGUGGAAACCGUUCAGCUUGGGACCGGGAGACUCGAGGGGUACGUCCGGGGUAGGAGUGAAAUCCCGUAAUCCUGGACGGACCAUCGGUGGCGAAAGCGCCUCGAGAGAACGGAUCCGACAGUGAGGGACGAAAGCUGGGGUCUCGAACCGGAUUAGAUACCCGGGUAGUCCCAGCCGUAAACGAUGCUCGCUAGGUGUGGCGCAGGCUACGAGCCUGCGUUGUGCCGUAGGGAAGCCGUGAAGCGAGCCGCCUGGGAA
This 309-nucleotide ribosomal RNA is filed under the name uncultured archaeon. Its description in RNAcentral is "bacterial SSU rRNA". It matches the Rfam family "Archaeal small subunit ribosomal RNA", at positions 526 to 834 of the family's 1478-position model. The record is from RNAcentral.